Molecule: ribosomal RNA, 429 nt
Filed under: Gemmatimonadota bacterium
Lineage: Bacteria; Pseudomonadati; Gemmatimonadota
Description: Gemmatimonadetes bacterium partial 16S ribosomal RNA
Rfam family: Bacterial small subunit ribosomal RNA
Source: RNAcentral
UAGGGAAUCUUCGGCAAUGGACGAAAGUCUGACCGAGCAACGCCGCGUGAGUGAAGAAGGUUUUCGGAUCGUAAAACUCUGUUGUUAGAGAAGAACAAGGACGUUAGUAACUGAACGUCCCCUGACGGUAUCUAACCAGAAAGCCACGGCUAACUACGUGCCAGCAGCCGCGGUAAUACGUAGGUGGCAAGCGUUGUCCGGAUUUAUUGGGCGUAAAGCGAGCGCAGGCGGUUUCUUAAGUCUGCUGUGAAAGCCCCCGGCUCAACCGGAGAGGGUCAUUGGAAACUGGGCGACUUGAGUGCAGAAGAGGAGAGUGGAAUUCCAUGUGUAGCGGUGAAAUGCGUAGCUAUAUGGAGGAACACCCGUGGCGAAGGCGGCUCUCUGGUCUGUAACUGCCGCUGAGGCUCGAAAGCGUGGGGAGCAAACAGG